Small nucleolar RNA from Onychomys torridus (southern grasshopper mouse), 75 nucleotides. RefSeq annotates it as small nucleolar RNA MBII-202. The record is from RefSeq and is a predicted model, not a curated record. The transcript has a single exon. Lineage: Eukaryota; Metazoa; Chordata; Mammalia; Rodentia; Cricetidae.
UGAUGACAUUCUCCAGAAUCGCUGUACUGUCUUGAUGAAAGUACUUUUGAACAAGAAAAGAAAAGAAAAACCAUU